UAAAUUUUUAAAGCGCCAGAACUUAUAGAGUUUUUAUAAGUAAAGCCUUCAAGAAAGCUUUAUUAGAGUGUCUAUAAGUUGACGAGGAUGGGGAGUAUCGAAUCUUCGGCGGGUGCCCCACGGUAUCGCACUACCGUUAACGAUUGACAAAAGCAGAGAGUAAUUUCUGUUACAAAUCAAUCUGGUGUUAAAA
This 193-nucleotide non-coding RNA is filed under the name Clostridium argentinense. RNAcentral describes it as "GlcN6P sequence". It matches the Rfam family "glmS glucosamine-6-phosphate activated ribozyme aptamer". Rfam says of the family: This entry contains a glucosamine-6-phosphate activated ribozyme that is found in the mRNA for GlmS. GlmS is an enzyme that uses fructose-6-phosphate and glutamine to generate glucosamine-6-phosphate. The record is from RNAcentral. Lineage: Bacteria; Bacillati; Bacillota; Clostridia; Eubacteriales; Clostridiaceae. RNAcentral also lists the same sequence under 1 other name.